Long non-coding RNA from Scleropages formosus (Asian bonytongue), 3634 nucleotides. RefSeq lists it as uncharacterized. The record is from RefSeq and is a predicted model, not a curated record. NCBI's taxonomy places the organism in Eukaryota, Metazoa, Chordata, Actinopteri, Osteoglossiformes, Osteoglossidae. The transcript has 8 exons.
GAGAGGGAACACUGAGCGAACAGAGUCGAUGAAGAACAUGCAGAUUGUAUCACGGAGCAAGGGCAAGACCACGUGGCUGUAAACACGAGGUCUGAGAAACAGGAGAGGCUGGCAACGACCAGCAGCAAUGCCUAUCUGCACAGCCAUUUGCUUCUGCCAUGUCGACAUCUUCGCUCAACAAGCUUGUGAUCGUCAUGUUAGUGGUCUUCAUCAUUUGCCUACCCGAGUUCUUCCCUUCACAUCAAGCCAAGGUGAAAGAGAUUUCUCCUGCAUCCAUUCCCCCCAUGCCUGAUGAAGAGCCAAGGUGACACAAGGUGCUUCCCUCCAUCCAGGAGGGAUGGAGAUAUAGAGGAGGAACUCUGCACUGGACCAGGAAACGUGACAAACCGUCAUGACCCAGGAGUUACCUGGUUCAUAUGUGAGACUCACACAGAGCCAUCAGCUAUCCUUCACAACACCCUGCGGCCAGAAGGGAAUUCUGAGCCAUCUCUCAUAAUUCAGUCCGAGGACUUUGAGGGGCACAAUAUUACAUUCACGGGGAUUGGGAACCGCAGCCUCUUUCGUGUACCAGAGGAGCACAGGCUGCUGUUUUCCUGCGAUGGAGAGCCCACCCCCAAACCCGGGGGCCUUCCCCAGCCCUCCAAUUAUAGCUGCUGCAUCUUACGCUUACACAGGAUGAACUCCACCGCACUUAAAACUACACUAGUGUGGGCAUCCUCUGUGGGAGGGUUCUGGUCGUGUUCCUACCGCAUGGUAUGGCUGUUUCUUGUUCUGAUCGUUGUGGUGCUGGUGCUCAAUGUGUCACAUGGGAAGUCUGAAGAACCGAUGUUCUAGGCAGAGAAGAGAGGAGCCCCCAGUCCUUGUUGAGCUCUCAUGGAGAUAUCAAAUGAAGAAAUGAGUGUUCACGGUGAACCAGUCCACAAUGCAAGUUUUACACAUCUCUCCACAAUUCAUGAGGAGGAUGAGACAGAAAGUCUGCAUGCAAGUGAUCACAACAAAAAUACUGCUAAUGGGUGAAAACAUCCGGAAGCAAGUGUUUUAGUAACUAUGCCAGCAAAACCAUGGAAUAAUAACCCACAUGAUGUGGCAUAAAGGACAAGCGAAGUUGGUCUGAACAUUGGCAGUCAUUUGACUGUUUAGAAGAUGAUUGUAUAGAAGACAAUCGGACAGCUUCCAGCGUUACAACCAUUUGUACAGCAGGAUAUUUAUUUUAACUCUGGAUGAGAACCUAUCUCAGGGACACAGGAGCAGGAAUCUGGGAUCCACACAUCCUUCUUUUGUCUGUAUUUUGCACUGUCACUUGAGAGCCCACCUAAACAGGCUGCAUGAAUGUGAAUUUCGGUUUGGUCAAAUGCAGUCAAACCCAAGACCCUAAAAAACAAUGUUUACAAGCUGCUUCCAUGGCCACUGAAGCCCUCACUGGCCUGGAGUUAAAGGACAACUAAUCUUUUGUUUAUUCCUGCUUCAGUCAUGCACUGCUUUCAAUUCCUUUUAUAAUUUCAGCUGUCAUCACCCUGUUCUCAGUUUUAAAUUUUAAAAGAAACUGACUUUUGUUUCCUAGUAUUUUUCUCCACCAGUAAUGCCCAAGUAAAAUUGGAUCAUUUUUUUAAAAUUCCCAUUUCAUCUGUGAAAUUGAAGUUUUAGGUAAUUCAGCUAUUAAGAAGAAAAAUGGUUAACAAGAUCAGCGCAUUUACUCUCUGGUUUUAUUUGCAAUGCACAAGAGAAUUAUAGCAUUGUUUUCAUCAUAACUUCUGUAAUUUAAGGUCACUUGAACAGGAAGUGAAGAGCAGCUUCAAGAUCAAGUAUGCUGGUUAAGGUGCUGACAGACACUCAAUGUCUAGCAGAAAACAUUUGGCAACGUGCACAUCACAAGAAUUUUCAAAGCUUUUUAGUCUAGUAUACUGUACAUUAUACAGCAAAACAAAUGAUACUGAUGCAGGAAGUCAUAACUUGCUAAGAAAUGCUGCUGAAUUUUGGUUACAGCACACCCUCUUCAUGGUUACAUACUCCACAGUGCCCAGCUGUGAAUAUAUCUCAACCAAAAAUUGCACCUUUGCAAAUGAAGUCUGAAAAUGCAUAAAUUAAACUUCUUAUCGUGCCUAACAGGGCAGCAUGAUGGUACAUUUCACAAAACACUGACGCCAUCAAAGUGGUUUAAGGAAAAAAAGGAUGAAAUGGUGGUUCAAGUUUCUACCACAAAUCGUAUGCAAUGCAACAUGAGUGUGAAAAUGCAAAAGAGCCUUAAAUGAAAUGAACACAUUGAAAUUUGGAACAAGAGGCACUUUAUACUGAAAUAUUUGGAUUAUUUAACGUUUUGGUGUAACAUUUCCUAAGGUUCGUAAAGACUUUAGACUCACAUCCAUAAAGUAUUUUGCAGUGCAAAGUCAAAUAAAGUAGUUUCUUACCAAAGAGCAAAUAAAUGCAGAUGUUCAUUUGUGGUUUUAUGCUUUACGUGUUAUGCACAGUUGGCAGUAAACCACACUUUGAGAAGCAGAGGUGAAAAAAACCAACGAGAAAAUUAUUUCUAAAAAAUUACAAGAAAAUAUAUUAUGAACUUAAUCCUGGUUAAAUAUUCCAUUGUCAGUCAUAAUAGUAAAUGUCACAGCAAUGCACUUCCUUGAUAAUAACUUUCAUAAACUGCAUACAGCAAUAUAGUGAAUUAUAUGGAAAUUAGUCUGGUUUUUUAUUCGUUUACAGCUGAAAGUGUCUUAGUAUGCUUUUCACACUGAAACCUUCAGCAGCAUUAACAUACGUUCUAAUAUCUUUAAUGGUGUUCAGAAGCAUUCUAAAAAGUGAUAAAAGGGAACAUCGGAAUGCUAAUGUACAAGAACAAUAACCCACACUUUCAUGAAUUCCCAGAAAAACAAUACUUUUACAGUACUUGCAAAAAAAGCAACAUUAUCUUUAUAAGACAAGCUCAGAUAUGUGGAUUCCGUUUCUAUACUGGAGUGUCAAUCUUCUGUCUAGGAGGCACAAAAUAAAAGUGCAGAACAAUUGAUGGAGUAUAAACUGUCCCUUCUCAAGAAGCAGGUCACAGUCCUUUGGUGUUGCCUUAGAUGUCAAGAGAAUUAUUUUUGAUCCCUUCACCCGCUCCUAACUUGUUCAUUACGGCACUUAGAGCCAUCGGUCUCCAACUGCACCGCCAGCACCGAAGCAGGCAGCUUUGAUUAAAACCCGUCGGUCGCCUCUCAGAAGAAUCAUCUCUCCAAUAACGCUGAUUCCAUGUAGGCCCUUCUACAGAACAAACAGAACCCUCAAUCCCUCAGAACUCCUCUCCAUCAUGGGCACUUAAGAGAUACUUGUUCAACGCAAAGCAGCCUGGUCUAAGGUUAACGUUGCUUUACAGUAUCUAUCCAGUCUUUACUUUGGAGUCUGAAUGUUUCAAUCGUCAGUGAAUGUAAGGGAAUGUCACAGAGCGCCACCUUCUAAUCUUGUCGGUACAAACGUUUCCCUGUGUGAACCAUGUUCCGAAUGCCUGUCAAUGUCAGUCUCAUUUCUACAGUCACCUCAUAGAACAAUAAAGUGAUAAAAUAUCUAAAUACUUGCAAAAUGGCAUGACAAGUGAAUUUAAGUGACAUUUCAUAAUUCUCCAUAUUCUAAUUAAUUUGUUAUUGUUAAAUACGUAUAUAUAUAU